This 251-nucleotide ribosomal RNA is filed under the name uncultured bacterium. RNAcentral's name for it is "partial 16S ribosomal RNA". It matches the Rfam family "Bacterial small subunit ribosomal RNA", at positions 57 to 305 of the family's 1533-position model. The record is from RNAcentral.
GCAAGUCGAGGGGUAACAUUGGUACUUGUACCAGAUGACGACCGGCGCACGGGUGCGUAACGCGUAUACAAUUUGCCUUAUACAGGAGGAUAGCCUUUAGAAAUGAAGAUUAAUACUCCAUGGUAUUAAGAUAUGGCAUCAUAUUUUAAUUAAAGAUUUAUCGGUAUAAGAUGAGUAUGCGUCCUAUUAGCUAGAUGGUAAGGUAAUGGCUUACCAUGGCAACGAUAGGUAGGGGCCCUGAGAGGAUAGUC